AACGAACGCUGGCGGCAUGCCUAACACAUGCAAGUCGAACGAGACCUCCGGGUCUAGUGGCGCACGGGUGGGUAACGCGUGGGAAGCUGCACUUAGGUAAGGAAUAAUUCCCUGUAAGGGGUGUUAAUACCGGAUAAUGUCUUCGGACAAAAGAUUUAUCGCCUCUGGAUGGGCGCGGGUUGGAUUAGCCAGUUGGUAGGGUAAAAGCCUACUAAGGCGACGAUCCAUAGCUGGUCUGAGAGGAUGAUCAGCCACACUGGGACUGAGACCCAGCCCAGACUCCUACGCGAGGGGGGAGUGGAGAAUAUAGGACAAUGGGCUAGGGCCUGACACCGCAAUGCCGGGUAAGUCAUCAUGGCCUUAGGGUUGUGAAGCUCUUUUACCCGGGGUGAUAAUGACAGUACCGGGAGAAUAAGCACCGGCUAACUCCGUG
This 433-nucleotide ribosomal RNA is filed under the name uncultured bacterium. Its description in RNAcentral is "partial 16S ribosomal RNA". It matches the Rfam family "Bacterial small subunit ribosomal RNA", at positions 29 to 507 of the family's 1533-position model. The record is from RNAcentral.